This 436-nucleotide ribosomal RNA is filed under the name uncultured bacterium. RNAcentral describes it as "bacterial SSU rRNA". It matches the Rfam family "Bacterial small subunit ribosomal RNA", at positions 958 to 1392 of the family's 1533-position model. The record is from RNAcentral.
AACGCGGAAGAACCUUACCUACCCUUGACAUCCAGAGAAUCUGUGAGAGAUAGUAGAGUGCCUUCGGGAGCUCUGAGACAGGUGCUGCAUGGCUGUCGUCAGCUCGUGUCGUGAGAUGUUGGGUUAAGUCCCGUAACGAGCGCAACCCUUAUCCUUAGUUGCCAGGCGGUUCGGCCGGGAACUCUAGGGAGACUGCCGGUGAUAACCCGGAGGAAGGUGGGGACGACGUCAAGUCAUCAUGGCCCUUAUGGGUAGGGCUACACACGUGCUACAAUGGUCGGUACAGAGGGCAGCAAAACCGCCAGGUCAAGCAAAUCCCAGAAAGCCGAUCCUAGUCCGGAUUGGAGUCUGCAACUCGACUGCAUGAAGUCGGAAUCGCUAGUAAUCGCGAAUCAGAAUGUCGCGGUGAAUACGUUCCCGGGUCUUGUACACACGA